UCAGACGAUGCGUCAUGCAUAUCAAUAAGCGGAGGAAAAGAAACUAACAAGGAUUCCCCUAGUAACGGCGAGUGAAGCGGGAAGAGCUCAAAUUUGAAAUCUUAAAGGGUUUCCCUUUACGAAUUGUAGUUUAAAGAAGUGUUUUCUGUUGAGGUUUUGGUAAAAGUUCUUUGGAAUAGGACAUCAUAGAGGGUGAGAAUCCCGUAUUUGACCUUUACUUCCAACUUUGUGAUACACUUUCAAAGAGUCGGAUUGUUUGGGAAUGCAGUCCAAAAUGGGUGGUAAAUUUCAUCUAAAGCUAAAUAUUGGCGAGAGACCGAUAGCGAACAAGUACCGUGAGGGAAAGAUGAAAAGAACUUUGAAAAGAGAGUUAAACAGUACGUGAAAUUGUCAAAAGGGAAGCGUUUGACACCAGUGUUGUUUUUCUGAAAAUCAAUUAAAGAACUGUUUAUGCUAAGUUGUUUAGACUUUAUCAGCUAUCUGUUUAGUUUUGAGCUUUUCUUUAAUGCACUUUUCAGCUAACAAGUCAACAUCAAUUUCUUUUGCUGUAAAAAAGCUUGAGGAAGGUGGCUUGAGAUUCGUCUUAAGUGUUUAUAGCCUCUUGCCUAUGCAGUCGGAGAGAUUGAGGUCUGCAGCGUAGAUCCUUCGGGGCUAAAUGCAUUUGUGCUAAGUUAUAGCAUUUUAUAGACAACUUGUUGACUAUGAUUUGUCUUGUAGCUUACUCGCUUAUGUUAUUUUACCUACGCUUAGGAUGUUGACACACGCGCGUGCUCG
Molecule: ribosomal RNA, 774 nt
Filed under: uncultured Neocallimastigales
Lineage: Eukaryota; Fungi; Neocallimastigomycota; Neocallimastigomycetes; Neocallimastigales
Description: partial large subunit ribosomal RNA
Rfam family: Eukaryotic large subunit ribosomal RNA
Source: RNAcentral